CGCCGCGGUAAGACGUAGGGGGCUAGCGUUGUCCGGAAUCACUGGGCGUAAAGAGCUCGUAGGCGGUCUGUUAAGUCGGGUGUGAAAGCCCUCGGCUCAACCGAGGAAUUGCACUCGAUACUGGCAGGCUAGAGUCAAGCAGAGGGAAGUGGAAUUCCCGGUGUAGCGGUGAAAUGCGCAGAUAUCGGGAAGAACACCGGUGGCGAAGGCGGCUUCCUGGGCUUGUACUGACGCUGAGGAGCGAAAGCUAGGGGAGCGAACAGGAUUAGAUACCCUGGUAGUCCUAGCCGUAAACGAUGGGCACUAGGUGUGGGGGGUUACCAAAUCCCUCCGUGCCGAAGCUAACGCAUUAAGUGCCCCGCCUGGGGAGUACGGCCGCAAGGCUAAAACUCAAAGGAAUUGACGGGGGCCCGCACAAGCGGCGGAGCAUGUGGCUUAAUUCGACGCAACGCGAAGAACCUUACCAGGGUUUGACAUGCUCGCGAAAACCGUGGAAACACGGUCCUCCUUCGGGACGCGUGCACAGGUGGUGCAUGGCC
RNAcentral lists this ribosomal RNA (539 nucleotides) under uncultured archaeon. RNAcentral describes it as "bacterial SSU rRNA". It matches the Rfam family "Bacterial small subunit ribosomal RNA", at positions 513 to 1050 of the family's 1533-position model. The record is from RNAcentral.